Molecule: non-coding RNA, 72 nt
Organism: Aedes aegypti (yellow fever mosquito)
Lineage: Eukaryota; Metazoa; Arthropoda; Insecta; Diptera; Culicidae
Source: Rfam
GGCUCGGUAGCUUAGUUAGUAAAACGUUCGUCUAGCAUACAAGAGUCCUGGGUUCGAAUCCCAGCUGUGCAC